GCCGGAUCAGCUCAGUUGGCAGAGCAGUUCAUUCGUAAUGAAAAGGUCACCAGUUCGAAUCCGGUAUCCGGCACCA
This 76-nucleotide transfer RNA is filed under the name Morganella morganii. Its description in RNAcentral is "tRNA-Thr". It matches the Rfam family "tRNA". From Rfam's summary of the family: Transfer RNA (tRNA) molecules are approximately 80 nucleotides in length. Lineage: Bacteria; Pseudomonadati; Pseudomonadota; Gammaproteobacteria; Enterobacterales; Morganellaceae. The record is from RNAcentral.